CCAGCUCCAAUAGCGUAUAUUUAAGUUGUUGCAGUUAAAAAGCUCGUAGUUGGAUUUCGGGUGGGUUCUACCGGUCCGCCUAUGGUGAGUACUGGUAUGGCCUUCCUUUCUAUCGGGGACGCGCGUCUGGGCUUCACUGUCCGGGCCGUGGAUUCGAUACUGUUACUUUGAGUAAAUUAGAGUGUUCAAAGCAGGCUUACGCCUGAAUACUUUAGCAUGGAAUAACACGAUAGGACUCUGGCCUAUCUUGUUGGUCUGUAGGACCGGAGUAAUGAUUAAGAGGGACAGUCGGGGGCAUUCGUAUUUCAUUGUCAGAGGUGAAAUUCUUGGAUUUAUGAAAGACGAACUACUGCGAAAGCAUUUGCCAAGGAUGUUUUCA
RNAcentral lists this ribosomal RNA (379 nucleotides) under uncultured Neodesmus. Its description in RNAcentral is "SSU rRNA". It matches the Rfam family "Eukaryotic small subunit ribosomal RNA", at positions 585 to 972 of the family's 1831-position model. The record is from RNAcentral. Lineage: Eukaryota; Viridiplantae; Chlorophyta; Chlorophyceae; Sphaeropleales; Scenedesmaceae.